RNAcentral lists this ribosomal RNA (319 nucleotides) under uncultured Wickerhamiella. RNAcentral's name for it is "eukaryotic LSU rRNA". It matches the Rfam family "Eukaryotic large subunit ribosomal RNA", at positions 151 to 478 of the family's 3401-position model. The record is from RNAcentral. Lineage: Eukaryota; Fungi; Ascomycota; Dipodascomycetes; Dipodascales; Trichomonascaceae.
UGAAGUUAGGAUUCUCGAAAACGACACCUAAGUUUUCUGGAAAGGAAUGCCACAGAGGGUGAUAGCCCCGUACGGUGUUGACUCGAUACAGAGUCCUAACAUGGAGUCGAGUUGUUUGGGAAUGCAGCUCAAAUGGGUGGUAUGCUCCAUCUAAGGCUAAAUAUUUGCGAGAGACCGAUAGCGAACAAGUACUGUGAAGGAAAGAUGAAAAGAACUUUGAAAAGAGAGUGAAAUAGUACGUGAAAUUGUUGAAAUGGAAGGGUAGGCCGCUAACCAUGUAGGACCGUGUUUGGGGGGAAGAUAAAUGCUGUAGAAUGUG